AUCUAGCUGACGAGUCCCAAAUAGGACGAAACUCGUGUCCUAGAU
Molecule: non-coding RNA, 45 nt
Organism: Schistosoma mansoni
Lineage: Eukaryota; Metazoa; Platyhelminthes; Trematoda; Strigeidida; Schistosomatidae
Source: Rfam